RNAcentral lists this long non-coding RNA (730 nucleotides) under Mustela putorius furo (domestic ferret). RNAcentral describes it as "lncRNA (ENSMPUG00000027046.1)". The record is from RNAcentral. Lineage: Eukaryota; Metazoa; Chordata; Mammalia; Carnivora; Mustelidae.
GCGAUUUUAAUUGUUCGGAAGCGUUUGGGUUUGCAGUCUGUUUCAAGUCGUGGGGACACGUGCUGUUUCUUAGAACAUCUUUGCUGCACCGGCCGGAGAGUGGUUGAGUGUUUAGGGCGGUGGUUCUCCAAGUCCCGUCUCAGGACCCACAGCCUCAGCGCCGCCUGCGAGCACUGGGAAUUCCAACUCCCCUGUUCGCCCCAGACGCGCGGACUCAGAAACCCAGCAAGUGUGUUUCAGCGAGCCCGCAGGGGCCCGGCGCCCGCCUGGGCUGGAGGGCCACGGCGCCACGGAGGCCGGCGAUCGGCGUGUGCAUGGAAACGGUGGUCACAUAAGAGGUGCCGCUGGGUGGACGGUACGAGGGACGACCCAGGACGGUAGAGGACACAACGGUUUGGGGGUCAUGGUUUUGUGACCGUGGCCCACGCCCUGAGGACGCCCUGCAGAGUGACACGGUCCCCAGGGGAGUGGCCUGUGCCCCAGGCAGAUGUGCUUCUCUCUUCAGUUGGGGGCCGGGGUGGGUGCUGGGCCGGACGUCCGUCUGUACCUGCAGUGUCCCUGAGACCUGGACGUGGCCCGUGUAGCGGGGGAUGGAGACCGACGGCCAGUCCAGGGCCAGGGCCGGGCAGAUCUGGGAAUACGAAGAGGUGCUCUUCCCUGCCCGUCUGAGAGGGGGUGGAGCCUUCUCCUGCCAGCUCUGGUUGGUUCUCAGGCCCUGGUCUUCCUGGUG